UUAUUUUUUGAAAUUGAAAAGAAAUGUUCACAACAUUCACAAUUUCACAUAAUUUCAAUUAGAACUGUCAUUAUGCCGCAAUUCUCCGAGCAAUGCAAAUACAAUUGCCACAAUUGAAGGCCGCAGUUUCAAUAAACAACACUUGAAACACACACUCGCAAAUGGAGAAACUGUUGAUCGUGAUUGGGUGAUAUAUUCACCAUCGCAAAAAUCUCUGUUUUGUUUCGUGUGCCACUUAUUUAGAUCAACUAAGUCAAGUGAUAUCUUUGCUCAGUAAAUUUCACAAUAUAAAUCGGGAUUUGACAGCUCAUGAAAAUUCCAAAAAUUACGUUCUCAAUGAAUUGGCGUACAAACAACGAGCAAAGGAAACGCAUGCACUUACGAUCGAUACCAGUAUCACAAUUCAAACAGAAAUCGAAAAGAAAUACUGGAGAUCCACUUUAAGACGAGUUGUUGCCGUAAUAAAAUUUUUGGGAUCGAGAGGGCUACCUUUUCGCGGUGUAAACCACAUAUAUGGUUCACUUCAAAAGGCAAUUUUAUAGGAAUCCUUGAUCUUCUAAGUCAAUUUGAUCCAUUAAUUGCAAUGCAUAUUGCGAAAUAUGGAAAUCAAGUCGAGCAUCAUAUCUGUCUGACACAAUUUCUGAUGAAUUUAUUAAUUUGAUUGGUGCAAAAGCAAUGAAUAUGAUUUUGCCCGAAAGCGUCGACUCAACACCUGACGUCAGUCAUUGUGAUCAAUUGGUAUUUUGUGUCAAAUAUGUGAAAAACGAGAAGCCAAUUGAGAGAUUCAUUCAAUUUAAUCAUUUAUUUACCUUACCAGUACUAUUAUCGAUUUUAUGUCAAAACAUUCGAUUAAUUUCUCUGAUUGCCGUGGCCAGUCCUAUGAUAACACAAACAACAUGGCUGGAAAAUAUUCCGGACUUCAACAGCGUAUUCUAAAACUAAACAAAUUCGCAAUAUUUUUGCCAUGCUCUUCUCAUUCAUUGAAUCUAGUUGGAACAGCAGCAGCUUCAAAAAAUAAUUUUUGUUUUAUGGAAAGCAUUUAUUCUUUUUUUGUAAAUUCACCAUCGCGCUGGAAACUGUUGAGCAAUGCAAGGUCAAGUCGUACUGAAAUGAGCAACUGGCACAAGAUGGUCUGAAAAAUUUGAUUCCGUCAAUGCUAUCAAUGGCAAUACAAAACAAGUGCAAUCAGUUUUUUUACGAUUGAUUAACGACAAAAGCCUCCAAACAAAUCCUGAAAACAAACUUCUCGCAACUGGACAUCUCAAAGAAUUGUGCAAAUUCGAAAAUAUUUUAAUGCUUAAAAUUUGGAAUGAGAUUAUUGUCAAAUUCGAACGUGCAAAUAAAACUUUGCAAAAUUUGGAUUUGAAUCUUUCAGUGGCUGUAAAAAUAUAUCAAAGCCUUGUUGGACACUGUCAGGAUUUAGAAGACCGAUUUAACGAUUUUCUUCAAGAUGCAAAAUCAACGUACAUGGAAUUAAAUUACGAAGAACAUACAUUUAAAAUUCAAACAGCAAUCACCCUCGAAAAUAUGGACGAUAGGGAGAAUGAAUUAUGUAAAAAUAUUUUCGCUCCUCUCAUUGAAUCAUUAGACACUAAUCUGGAAACACGAAUGGCUUGUUACGUAGAAGUAGAAGGAAGAUUUGGCUUUCUUUCACGGCAGCAUGGACUGAAUUUCGAUGAAAUCUCGGUAGCAUGUCACAAAAUAGCAUUACUUUAGGGGGGUGAUGUUGAUGAAAAAGAAUUGAUUUCAGAAUGCGAGAUCGCUAAAAAAAUUAUCGAAGAUGGAUUAAAAACUCUUUUUCCAAAUAUUGAAAUAUUGUUGCAGAUUUUCCUAUCGCUCUUUAUUACAAAUGUGCCCAAUGAACGAUCUUUUUCAAAACUAAAAUUCAUUAAAAAUGCUUUACGAAACAGUUUGUCUGACGAAAUUCUCUUGCUUUGAUGUCAAUUGAAAAUGAAAUUUUGGAUUCACUGAACUUGGACGAAAUCAUUAAUGAAUUUGUGUUGUUGAAGGUACG
Molecule: non-coding RNA, 2014 nt
Organism: Bactrocera oleae (olive fruit fly)
Lineage: Eukaryota; Metazoa; Arthropoda; Insecta; Diptera; Tephritidae
Source: RefSeq, a predicted model, not a curated record